This 2304-nucleotide long non-coding RNA is filed under the name Triticum aestivum (bread wheat). Its description in RNAcentral is "long non-coding RNA (TAES_LNC001292)". Lineage: Eukaryota; Viridiplantae; Streptophyta; Magnoliopsida; Poales; Poaceae. The record is from RNAcentral.
GCAACUUGAUAAUAGUAAUUUCAGUAUUGUUUUGCUAUUGUAAAUUUUAGCUUCUUUUGCCCUGGUGCUUUUGAAACAAAACUGACCAGUUUCUUUGAUUUUUAACUAGAGUGAUCUGUGCAAUACACUCUGUCAAAUGGAAAGAAUUUGCGAUCUCUGCUUUUCAUUCUUGUGAUUUUACAGGUUCUAGAUCUCAAAGAAAUGCACUAGGCAUGAGCAAAGACAUUGGAAUUGAAGGACUUUCAGCCUGUGGAUCGUCUCUUGUAUGAUCUUCCAUGGUUCUCCCCCGAUUAGUUGUUGCGGCUUUGGUGUCCGUCUUUUCCCCAAUUGGAAUUGAAGGAUUUCUGACUUCAUGGUUCCUUGUUGGUGUUUGUCUUUGCCCUUUCUUUUUAUUUCUCAUUUCCUCCAUGUAAGUAAUUUAAUUUCUGCCUUCUUUUUUGGUGUUUGUCUUUGCCAUUUCUUUUUUUAUUUCUCAUUUACAAUAUAUACAUUUUUCUUCAUAUUACUCUUCCUAGUUGCAGCUGUACUUCCCCAUAACCGUUCGAAAACAUUGGUUUUGUUUCUUUGUUUGUUUGAAGGGAAGAGCCUUUGCUUUCCUUGAUCCAUCUUUUAAUGAGCAUUCUGAAUUUCACUUGCAGUUUAGUGAUUUGCUAGUACAUUUUUAAUCAAUUUGCUUCUAAAUUUGUUUCCCUUUUGAAGGCACUGUGUUGUUAUCUUUUAAGAUUUAUCUCUGGUAUUUUCUUUUAUUCGAACGGAUUACACACUUUAUAGGAUUCUGGGAUGCUUUUAUUACUCCCAUGUUGGUAUCUUUUUUUUUUCUUCCUUUAUUCAUGUGAAACCAGGCACACAAUUGCGGUGUCUUUAUAUUCAAGAUUAUGGAAGUAUGGACUGCAAGGACUCAAGUUGUUAACCAAUUUUCAAGCGCUGACAUUCCGAACUUAAGGACAGAAGUAUGCUAAUGAUAGUUUUUCUGUGAGUUCAACAGGGUGGAUAAGUUCUAGACUUCUUGUUACUAAUUUCUUUGAUGAUGUAAGCAAUUCUAUUUUUUAUACUUCAAAUUUACAGUAAAGAGGUUCAUGAUUUCCAGUCUUUUUUUAGUUGUACUUUUGGCUCCAGGUUGCCUAAUUUACUGUGCUCGUCUAGAUCAUUCACUGUCUCUUGUACUAUGUAUUUUCAGCUUUUUGGCUCAGUGUUAAUUGCUUCCCUUUGUGAUGUAUAUCUUAAUGAUUGGUCUAAUUCUUGUUUGAUCCUUUCUUUCAGACUGUGAAUUAACAAUGAUGAAGAAGAAGGCUUUUUUGCAUUAGAGAGAUGUUAAACUGCUCACACUAUGGAUAGCGCAGUGCGUAUGUUGGUUCAAUGUGUGGUCAUCUGUAUGAUAGGCAGUGUGUAUGUUGGUUCAAUUGUGUCUAUAAUCCGUAGAUGGCACGAGGUACUAUACUUGCAAGGUUUUCUUACUAUAAUUUCAAAGUUUUACACCUGCUUGUCAUAGAAUGCAAAUGGGUCCAGUCCAACCCGCGUACAUACAUACCAACUCAUGACUCGGCGCUGCAAAUGGGUGUCUUUGAGACUCGACAAGUUCCGGUCAUAAUGUCACUGUAAUAAUCACACAAUAUGAGUGUAAAUUAUGCGUAAAUACACUAUAAUUGUAGAAGUUCCAGUUCUAAUUUGACUGUAAGUUUUGUGUAUCUAGUCUUUAACUUUUAAGAUAUCACUGUGAGUAGACUGCAAGUUACCAGCAGACUCUAAUGGCAGUCUACUUAUCACUGUGUUUUUCUCCCAAAAGACUGUAAGUAGGCUGUACGUUGAUGCAAGACCUACAGAGGGUACGUUGAUGGAUCAGUAGGCUUUUUCUUGGAUGUGGUAUUGCGAUAGUUGUAGCUCACAUAUGUUUGAAACCGGGUCUAGUUCCAACCCGAUUAGGAUUGGCCUUUCUCCUGAUGACAUACACACAGCGGAGAUGCACAAAAAAGGGACACACAAAUACAUACAAGUGUCGUUCUUUAUUGGUUGGAAAACUUGACUGACGUCCAAUUGAUUUUCAGUCAAACGUCAAAUAUACACUCCCUAUGUCUAACAUAUUCAAAAUUGAGACAGGCAUAUGCACUUGCCUCUUCACACGCCAUACUCUACUUCCAAUUCAGCAGCAAAUGAGAAUCGUUUCUAAAUUUGCUGCACGUCGCCGUGAAAAAUACUACGCGGAACGAAAAAAAACCAGGAAAAAAAAUCAUACUUGGCCGCUGAAGGUCGCGGCGGCGAGCCGGGGCAGGCGUGGCGACGCGGUUGAAGUCCAGCAGUACCCACGGG